CCUACGGGAGGCAGCAGUGGGGAAUUUUCCGCAAUGGGCGAAAGCCUGACGGAGCAACGCCGCGUGGGUGAUGAAGUCUUUCGGGACGUAAAACCCUUUCAGCAGGGACGAAGCGAGUGACGGUACCUGCAGAAGAAGCAUCGGCUAACUACGUGCCAGCAGCCGCGGUAAUACGUAGGAUGCGAGCGUUGUCCGGAUUUAUUGGGCGUAAAGCGAACGUAGGCGGUUUCUUAAGUUUGGUCUUAAAGACCGGGGCUCAACCCCGGGAAUGGACUGAAUACUGGGAGACUAGAGGAUGUUAGAGGAAAGUGGAAUUCCAAGUGUAGCGGUGAAAUGCGUAGAUAUUUGGAGGAACACCAGUGGCGAAAGCGGCUUUCUGGGACAUUCCUGACGCUGAGGUUCGAAAGCUCGGGGAGCAAACAGGAUUAGAUACCCCUGUA
RNAcentral lists this ribosomal RNA (440 nucleotides) under uncultured bacterium. Its description in RNAcentral is "bacterial SSU rRNA". It matches the Rfam family "Bacterial small subunit ribosomal RNA", at positions 338 to 792 of the family's 1533-position model. The record is from RNAcentral.